GGCUCUCCAAAAUUUGAGUGAGAAAGUGACCCAAUAAUUUCUAUCUAUUCGAGGUACUAUAAUAACAGCAUUGAUGCUGAGAAGUGUGAAUAAUAUAAAUUACAGCUACCAAAAAUGUUAGUUCCAUUAUGAGUGCAUGGAAUUUAGCAACUUCAGAGCCAGUUCUUCUUGCUCUGCCAAAGAUAUAGCAUCAGCAGCAAUACCAUCUUUAGCCAUGUUCCCUUUCCUCUUGUCAUCCUCGUCGUCACUGUCGAAAUAUAUCUUUGUUUUCUUGUCGACUCUACCUCUGGGGAUUUCCAUGUCUGACCCAGAGAGUUCUUCAUCUUCCUCCUCUUCUUCCUCUCUCCCUCUCUUAUUCUUCAUCUUCUCCCUGAUUCGUUUUUCUUUGCGACGUUUGCGGUCCAAAUCCUUGUCUUCUUUGUCAGCCAUCUUCAGGUUCUUUCUUAACUCAGCAUAUCUCUGAUUUACUUUUUCUUUGUUGAGUUGAACAGAGUCUGCACCGCUGCUUGAGGCUGCUAAUCUUGCAAGAGGAGGUAAGGUGUUCCCUUCCUCAUCAAACACAACCCUUGUCCCUACUGGUCUGUGGACAUUGAUCUUUAGUUUCUUUUUCUUCGUAAUUCUAGUGGCC
RNAcentral lists this unclassified non-coding RNA (628 nucleotides) under Hevea brasiliensis (rubber tree). The record is from RNAcentral. Lineage: Eukaryota; Viridiplantae; Streptophyta; Magnoliopsida; Malpighiales; Euphorbiaceae.